This 316-nucleotide ribosomal RNA is filed under the name uncultured Chloroflexota bacterium. Its description in RNAcentral is "bacterial SSU rRNA". It matches the Rfam family "Bacterial small subunit ribosomal RNA", at positions 28 to 351 of the family's 1533-position model. Lineage: Bacteria; Bacillati; Chloroflexota. The record is from RNAcentral.
GAUAAACGCUGGCGGCGUGCUUUAUGCAUGCAAGUUGAACGGUUUUGAUUUAUCAAGAUAGUGGCGAACGGGUGAGUAACACGUAAGUAACCUGCCCUAAAGUGGAGAAUAACUUCGGGAAACUGAGGCUAAUACUGCAUGUGAUGGCAGAGGUAGUGCUUUGUCAUUAAAGCCUUCGGGCGCUUUUGGAGGGGCUUGCGUUCGAUUAGCUAGUUGGUAGGGUAACGGCCUACCAAGGCAACGAUCGAUAGCUGGUCUGAGAGGAUGAUCAGCCACACUGGGACUGAGACACGGCCCAGACUCCUACGGGAGGCAG